GGACGUUACUCGCAGAAUAAGCGCCGGCUAACUCUGUGCCAGCAGCCGCGGUAAUACAGAGGGUGCAAGCGUUAAUCGGAUUUACUGGGCGUAAAGCGCGCGUAGGCGGCUAAUUAAGUCAAAUGUGAAAUCCCCGAGCUUAACUUGGGAAUUGCAUUCGAUACUGGUUAGCUAGAGUGUGGGAGAGGAUGGUAGAAUUCCAGGUGUAGCGGUGAAAUGCGUAGAGAUCUGGAGGAAUACCGAUGGCGAAGGCAGCCAUCUGGCCUAACACUGACGCUGAGGUGCGAAAGCAUGGGGAGCAAACAGGAUUAGAUACCCUGGUAGUCCAUGCCGUAAACGAUGUCUACUAGCCGUUGGGGCCUUUGAGGCUUUAGUGGCGCAGCUAACGCGAUAAGUAGACCGCCUGGGGAGUACGGUCGCAAGACUAAAACUCAAAUGAAUUGACGGGGGCCCGCACAAGCGGUGGAGCAUGUGGUUUAAUUCGAUGCAACGCGAAGAACCUUACCUGGCCUUGACAUAGUAAGAACUUUCCAGAGAUGGAUUGGUGCCUUCGGGAACUUACAUACAGGUGCUGCAUGGCUGUCGUCAGCUCGUGUCGUGAGAUGUUGGGGUAAGUUC
Molecule: ribosomal RNA, 618 nt
Filed under: uncultured bacterium
Lineage: Bacteria
Description: bacterial SSU rRNA
Rfam family: Bacterial small subunit ribosomal RNA
Source: RNAcentral